GGGUGAGUAAUGCCUAGGAAUCUGCCUGGUAGUGGGGGACAACGUUUCGAAAGGAACGCUAAUACCGCAUACGUCCUACGGGAGAAAGUGGGGGAUCUUCGGACCUCACGCUAUCAGAUGAGCCUAGGUCGGAUUAGCUUGUAGGUGAGGUAAUGGCUCACCUAGGCAACGAUCCGUAACUGGUCUGAGAGGAUGAUCAGUCACACUGGAACUGAGACACGGUCCAGACUCCUACGGGAGGCAGCAGUGGGGAAUAUUGGACAAUGGGCGAAAGCCUGAUCCAGCCAUGCCGCGUGUGUGAAGAAGGUCUUCGGAUUGUAAAGCACUUUAAGUUGGGAGGAAGGGUUGUAGCUUAAUACGCUGCAACCUUGACGUUACCAACAGAAUAAGCACCGGCUAACUCUGUGCCAGCAGCCGCGGUAAUACAGAGGGUGCAAGCGUUAAUCGGAAUUACUGGGCGUAAAGCGCGCGUAGGCGGCUUGAUAAGAUGGGUGUGAAAUCCCCGGGCUUAACCUGGGAACUGCAUCCAUAACUGUCUGGCUAGAGUACAGUAGAGGGUGGUGGAAUUUCCUGUGUAGCGGUGAAAUGCGUAGAUAUAGGAAGGAACACCAGUGGCGAAGGCGACCACCUGGACUGAUACUGACGCUGAGGUGCGAAAGCGUGGGGAGCAAACAGGAUUA
Molecule: ribosomal RNA, 680 nt
Filed under: bacterium
Lineage: Bacteria
Description: bacterial SSU rRNA
Rfam family: Bacterial small subunit ribosomal RNA
Source: RNAcentral